Molecule: ribosomal RNA, 312 nt
Filed under: Triticum aestivum (bread wheat)
Lineage: Eukaryota; Viridiplantae; Streptophyta; Magnoliopsida; Poales; Poaceae
Description: partial small subunit ribosomal RNA
Source: RNAcentral
AUGAAGCCCCACUUUGUGGUCAUUGCAGCUGUAGCUAAGGAGGGUACCCGUCAGCGCCAGCUCACUGCUUGCCUAUGUAAUCAAUCUAUAUUUCCAACCUUUUUGUUUAUGGCUCUCAUGGAGAUUCACGAUGUAGUGGUCGCACUUCAAAACACUUCAGCCACAACAUCUCAGUUCCUAGAGGAAAAAGGCAUGUACUCAGAUGAUGAAGUGCCUGAUCCAUUCUAUAGUGGGCAUUCUGAUGAAGAUUCAGCUGAUGAUUGUCGUCAAGACGUGGACGACGACUAUGAUCACUAUGUCCGAUCCCCAUGA